Molecule: ribosomal RNA, 492 nt
Filed under: uncultured bacterium
Lineage: Bacteria
Description: partial 16S ribosomal RNA
Rfam family: Bacterial small subunit ribosomal RNA
Source: RNAcentral
AGUGAACGCUGGCGGUAGGCCUAACACAUGCAAGUCGAACGGCAGCACAGUAAGAGCUUGCUCUUACGGGUGGCGAGUGGCGGACGGGUGAGGAAUACAUCGGAAUCUACUUUUUCGUGGGUGAUAACGUAGGGAAACUUACGCUAAUACCGCAUACGACCUACGGGUGAAAGCACGGGAUCUUCGGACCUUGCGCGAUUGAAUGAGCCGCUGUCGGAUUAGCUAGUUGGCGGGGUAAAGGCGCACCAAGGCGACGAUCCGUAGCUGGUCUGAGCGGAUCGUCCGCCACACUGGAUCUGAGACACGGUCGCGACUCCUACGGGAGGCAGCAGUGGGGAAUCUUGGACAAUGGGCGAGAGCCUGAUCCAGCCAUACCGCGUAGGUGAAGAAGGCCUUCGGGUUGUAAAGCCCUUUUGUUGGGAAAGAAAAGCAACAGGUUAAUCCCCCGCUGUUCUGACGGUACCCAAAGAAUAAGCCCCGGCUAACUUCGUG